UACGUAGGGUGCGAGCGUUGUCCGGAAUUAUUGGGCGUAAAGAGCGCGUAGGCGGUCCGAUAAGUCGGCUGUGAAAGUCAGGGGCUCAACCCUUGGAAGCCGGCCGAUACUGUCGGACUAGAGUACGGAAGAGGCAAGUGGAAUUCCUGGUGUAGCGGUGGAAUGCGCAGAUAUCAGGAGGAACACCUAUAGCGAAGGCAGCUUGCUGGGACGUUACUGACGCUAAGGCGCGAAAGCGUGGGGAGCGAACAGG
RNAcentral lists this ribosomal RNA (253 nucleotides) under uncultured bacterium. RNAcentral's name for it is "partial 16S ribosomal RNA". It matches the Rfam family "Bacterial small subunit ribosomal RNA", at positions 524 to 776 of the family's 1533-position model. The record is from RNAcentral.